Panicum virgatum (switchgrass) is the source of this 4228-nucleotide RNA transcript. RefSeq lists it as uncharacterized. NCBI's taxonomy places the organism in Eukaryota, Viridiplantae, Streptophyta, Magnoliopsida, Poales, Poaceae. The transcript has 18 exons. The record is from RefSeq and is a predicted model, not a curated record.
CAACCUUGACGGCUCACUCACACCGAUCAAUCAAUAGUUACAGAAAAAGCGAUCCCUAAUUUCUGUCCACAGUAACACCGAUACCCAGAUUCUUCGCCGGGCAGGAAGCACGAUGUGCAACCCACCGGAGACGCCGCCGCUCUGCCAUUGCUGCCCGAGAUCCCCUGAUUGCCGCAGCUUCCUCAAUGGCUUGCCAAUUUCACCAGACAAAACUCCAAUUCGUCCCCCACCAUCUUCUCCCUGCUGGAACCUCGCUUCGUUGCCGCUGGAGACGCCCCAAUCCUCCACCGGCGACGACGCUGGUGAAUUCCAACUGCAUCCCUGCAGUUCCCCCACCUGAGACCCCCAUCCUCCACCCCCCAUGCUGGCCUGUGCAAUCCGUCUAGAGAUUCCACCGGCGUGCCUGCUAGGGUGACCCGGCAAUCCAAAUCCAAGCCAGGAGAGGGACCCUGAGGACCCGAGUAGUUGUUUACUUCCUUUUCUGAAGGAGAUGAGGCUCGCUCAGCAAAUGCAUGGGAGACUAAAAUCAUUCUCAGUAGAAACAUCACAAGGGAUUUGGUCCAUCGAUGUAAGUUCCGUCACUGGUGCUGGACGGCCACCCGCCGAUGCUGCUCGGCAGCCACAACCAUCAGCACGACCUCAACCACAAGUUCCUUGUGAUGCUAAUAUGGUGAAAACCAAGAACAUGCCUCCAACCAGGAGUGUGCACCAAUCUCACGCUGGACCUAGCACUGACAGGGAUCUCCAUGAAAGUGAUGAUGAUGAUGAUGCCUUCAUGGAACCCCCGCCAUGGCGUCGUGUGCUCAAGAAACAAUGCACCAAUGCAAAUUUAGCAGCCAAUGCAACUGCAAAGACUACCAAGACUCUAGUAAAGUAUGCUCAUGCUCCAACAGUUCGCUGCGCCCCUUCGACAUUCAACAAAUUUGUUGACAACUUGACCCUCAACCAGCGUAUUAAGAUCAUAGAGAUGGGUUUUGGUGGCCUCCUUGGUAUAUCUGCAGAGAGGAUAGGAAGCAGAGAACUAUUGAAGUUCUUGUUCGACAGGCUAGACCCCAACAGCAUGGUAAUCGAACUUGGCAAAAAUAGGGGAAUCCAUGUGACUCCCUUUGCCGUGAAGCAAGUGCUCGGCAUACCAGAUAGUGAUGAAGAUCUACCUCUACAAACAAACAACCAUGCAUCCAAGGCUCUGUCCAAACUCAAGAUUAUGUUGGGUCUUGAAGAAUCCCAGGACCUUCACGCGAGCCAUCUCCAAAAGAUCUUGAAGGAUGAUUUAGAGCUGUGCUCUAAUUUGAUUGAUGAUGAAACGGCAAUAAGAUUUUUCUUUAUCAUUGCUUCUAACAAGCUCCUGUUUCCUAGCACAGAUAACAACAUCAGAUGCAAGGAUAUUUACCUGACUAGGGACUUGUCUUGUUUAUCGGAUAUGAACUGGUGCAAGGCGGUUGUGGAUGACCUUAGACAUGCUGCUCAUGCAUAUCAUAUUGACAAGACAAAGAAAGGGACACCAUCGCUUCCUGGAUGUGCUAUAUUACUGAUUAUACUGUAUUUGGAUAACCUACAAUGCAAACACCAGAUCGAACACAUGAACACUCCUCGUGCAAAGUACUUCGAUCAAAAUGUUAUACAAAAGAUCACUUCUGCUGAUAGAACCAAGGACCAACAAGGGAAGGCUACGUUUGGGCUAUUACCGGUGAGUUCUAUUACUCAGUUUCUGUACAUUUUUUUAAUUUUUUUCCCUGUAUCCAUGUUGUUUUGUAAUGCCACUAUUUCACUCCACUUUUGCCGUGUGCAGCUUAAGAGUAGCAACAAUACUUGCUACUAUACGACCCAUCACCCAUUUUCAGAUGUGCCAGCAAACAAUGAACCAUUGGCUGCAUCUUAUUUCCCAAGUAUACUCGCAGAACUGGGUGGAUUUGUUGAUCAUAUUGAUAGAAGGACAAGGAAGUCGCAGGCAAGGGCAGCCCUGGCAAAGUUUGAUGCCAAAUCCAAGAAAGCGUCAAGCUAUAUGAACACGGGGCAACUGAUGUUACAGAAUGCACACCAGGAAGUUAUACGAAAUCUGCGGGCAAUUUUGCAGGACAAGGCGCAAGGCAACAUUGGUCAAGAUCAUCAUCAUCAACCCAACACUUCUGAUACAGCUCAAGCUGAUGAUGUCAGCAUGCAUGGUAGCCGUAAUGGUCAUAACAUGGGAUCUGAACAUGUAUUUGACAAAGAGGUUCCAUCUGAAACAAGGGAAAAUGAGUUGCAUUAUGGUGGCCACCCUAAUUAGGAUAGGCCUUUGCAGUUCGCACAAAACGGGGCACGAGAACCAGAUCUGUCAAACCAUGCAACUCUGCACCAUACCCAUGAUGAAACUUUCCCUCAGACUGAUAAUGUACAUUGUGAUAAGGACAUGGAAGGUGAACCUUCACUAGUUUCCUCUCAGGUGCAUGUUCACACAGGUCUGACUAGUGGUCAUGUACUACCUCCUGACGUGGCUGAUGGAGACACAACAGCAGCCUUGCCAAUUACUACUCAAGCCGGUGACGUUUAUAUGCAUGAUACUCACACUGGGCACAAUAUGGGAUUUGAACAUGAGUUUGACAUGCCAAUUCAAUUAGAAACAAGGGCAAAUGAAUUGCAUUCUGGUGACCACACCAACCAAGACAUCAACCACGCCACACCUAUGCAGUUGAAACAACACAUGGCCCUAGAAUCAGGGAUCCCAAUCCCUGUAGCGCAGCACAAUAGCCAUGAUGAUAGUUUCCCUCGUUCUGAUAAUCACAAUAUACAGGAUGAUAAGGAAAUUGAAGAUGAACCUUCACCUAUCUGUUCUCAGGUUCCCAUAAAUGUAACCAUUGAUCAACUCGUGCCUCCUAUUGCAGCUGAAGGAGCUACUGGCCCAGACAUUGCUGGCAUUGUAGGAAGCCAUCAUAAUGCUGAUGCUGCAACCUCAAGCUACAGUGUGACUAUACCAACACCGGGUGUUGUUUUGGACACCGACGAUCUAGAACCAUAUCAGAUGGAAGCAACUCAUAUGGCAACUGACGACCCCCUAGGCCAUGUUCUUUUCCAUCCUUGCACUCAAAACGAGCCCAUCCAGCGUCCAUCAAUUGUUCCUAGACCACAACGCCUUACCAAACGCCCAGCCAUGUACGUGUCACCUUUUAAAGGUGAUCCACAAUGAGCAAAAGUUCCUAUGUCAAAAGCACUUGCUGUAAGGAAGAAGUUCCACCCUCGCCUAAAGUGUUUAAGUGAUGUGUUCAUUCGCUAUGGUCUGAAAGAAUUCAAUGGAGAAGAAAUAUUCGAAUCGUUCGUUGAUGACGAAUGGCUUUCAACCAAAUUCAUGUCCUACUUUGUUGCUUGCUUGAGCCAUGAUGAAUCAAUCCACAUGGCUGAGGGUGUUGGAUACAGGGUCUUCCUAUCUCCAGAGAUUGGGGAAUAUGUAAAUAUAGAGGAAGAUGAGGACUUUUCCUAGUGGGAUUCUCCACCGGCCCUAGCCAUUUUAUAGCGUGACAUUGAGCACGUCGACCCAACCAAAGUAAAGCUUUUCUGUUUGCCUGUGAUGGAGGAGGACCACUAUAGUGUCUACUGCAUCAAUUUCAUUCACGAUCGGAUAGAUGUACUUGAUUCUAGUCCAGAAGACCACAUAAUUUAUCAUAAUGUUCUCGGUGACAGGAUCAUUCAAAGGCUUAAUCUCCUAUUCCAGCUGGCCACGGAUUAUAGAGUCAAGCAGUUUACUCGAUUCAAGCGCCCAAUAAUUGACGUAUGUAUGCACUCACACGAGAACGAUUGUGUAUUCUUUGCAAUCAAGUUCAUGGAGCUUUGGAAUGGUGAUUCUUUCCAUGUUCCCAUCCUCACAGCAAACGGACGUCUGUAUAGGUCUGAGCUCUUAUUCUACGGCCUCUACCAUCCACUGAACACUAUCAAGAAGCUCCCUACUGGACUAGUAGCAUACAGGCCUCGUCUGUGACCCUCCUGUCUCCUCCAAAUUAUCGUCGAAAUAUGUGUGCAAGUGAACAAGUCUGUUAUCAAUUUUUUCCCACUAGGACAAGACUGAGUUGUCCCAGGGUUGUCAGUUACUGUAUUGGAGUAAUUAUAGUUAUCUAUAAAAAAAAUUCUAGAAUACUAUGCCCAUAUCUAUGGCAUGGAAAUACUACUUUUCAAUGUUAAUUAUCAUGAUUCUGUACCAAUCUACUACCUUGUAUUAUAAGUUACUACAAUAAGAUGCCUAAUUACCAUAACUUAGUCA